This 1146-nucleotide long non-coding RNA is filed under the name Suricata suricatta (meerkat). RNAcentral's name for it is "lncRNA (ENSSSUG00005010299.1)". The record is from RNAcentral. Lineage: Eukaryota; Metazoa; Chordata; Mammalia; Carnivora; Herpestidae.
UCUUGCCAAAAAGGUGCACAAGCACAGGUACCAGAGAUGCGUUUGGUGGGCAUCCUUCCAGAACUUCAGAUUCAGAAAAAGAGCAUUGGAACCAAAAACAAUCCAGCACGUCAGAAGAAAAAUAACUUCCAGGUCCAAUACAGAAGCCUCCCUCCUUGAACAGCAAUCAUCUAACACAAAAUCCACCGAAGAAGUCCUUCUGAGUGUCGUUUCAUCCCACAGUAUUUUACGCUUUGGGCCAAAGCCGUUCUCACUUAUACCACUGCCCUCAGACUUGAUCUUGGUGCUCUUUGGGAAGAGGGUGCUAAAAAAAAUGACAUAAAUUUUUGGUUUUAUGAAUGACUGAGAACCUAGUCUCAUGACCAAAAUGAAUAUAAAAGAACAAAAAAUAAAAUUGGCCUGAGGGGAAAAAAUACCUGAAUUUGUACCCACAAUCAAGUUGAGUCAGAAUGUAAAAUAUAUGUAGAAAAUGACAGAGUUUGAUCUGAAAAUCCUUAAAUCAAUGGGAUGCCUUAAUAAAAUAUCUCAAAGGAAAACUAUAGAAGUAUUCGUUAGGGGGAAAAUGCACGUACUUUUAAUCACGCAGAAUCCAACUUCAUUGAAAACAUACUGAGGGAUUACGUGGGGAGGAACACAGAACACCCAGAAUCUGCCCGUGAUAAGGAAUCAGUUUUCAGAGGGAAGAUCUGCGUCACUGCACAGCGUAGUAGAAGAAUAAAAUAAACUCCCACAUAAUUCUUUCCUCAUGGUAUUAGCAGAACAGAGUGUUCACUACACAAAUUCGGCCUCGGAUGAAUAGGAUCUAGGGAAGAGGGGAGCAGCACAGCACUUCAGAGAACACGCGACCAUGACGGUAGAAAUCUGUUUCCAGGUGGACGCAUGACGGCUGGCAGGAAAUCUUGACUGUGCUGGCGCUUCAAAGCCGGACAGUGGGGACGACAGUAGAAGCUCACUGCUGGGGCAGAUGGAUGUCUAGCAGCUGGUGGUGGAUUGAGAAUAUUGAUGGGCAUCACAAAGAAUGAGGAAAACAGGCUGGAAACAAGUGUCCGGAAAGCCCGAUGCUGCUGUGUCCUACGCAGAUGGCUCCAAAAUCUAACUGACUCCUAUUUUGCUUCUGCAUUCCAAGUUUAUGGAUGUUAGGCUUUG